GUCCACACUGUAAACGAUGAUUACUAGGUGUUGGAGGAUUGACCCCUUCAGUGCCGCAGUUAACACAAUAAGUAAUCCACCUGGGGAGUACGACCGCAAGGUUGAAACUCAAAGGAAUUGACGGGGGCCCGCACAAGCAGUGGAGUAUGUGGUUUAAUUCGACGCAACGCGAAGAACCUUACCAAGUCUUGACAUCCCUUGACGAUGCUGGAAAACAGCAUUUCUCUUCGGAGCAAAGGAGACAGGUGGUGCAUGGUUGUCGG
This 263-nucleotide ribosomal RNA is filed under the name uncultured bacterium. Its description in RNAcentral is "partial 16S ribosomal RNA". It matches the Rfam family "Bacterial small subunit ribosomal RNA", at positions 793 to 1055 of the family's 1533-position model. The record is from RNAcentral.